AUUUUUGAUCAGGAAGUGCAUCCCUCUCUCUCCGAGCUGCAUGAGCCAGGACCGUGUACGAACACCAGAGUGGUUUUGAGCGCACACACAGAACAGUCAGCUGGAGCACCGUGAGGAGAUCUUCACUACAUUUAACUUAAAGUGUGUUGGAUUACAAUCACAGACGGCACCUUUAAGUCGGCAUGUUACAUUAGUGCAGCUAAAACGACAAAGCUGAAUAAAAAUACACAGGAAAGACAA
Molecule: long non-coding RNA, 240 nt
Organism: Xiphias gladius (swordfish)
Lineage: Eukaryota; Metazoa; Chordata; Actinopteri; Istiophoriformes; Xiphiidae
Exons: 2
Source: RefSeq, a predicted model, not a curated record